RNAcentral lists this ribosomal RNA (196 nucleotides) under uncultured bacterium. Its description in RNAcentral is "partial 16S ribosomal RNA". It matches the Rfam family "Bacterial small subunit ribosomal RNA", at positions 1305 to 1500 of the family's 1533-position model. The record is from RNAcentral.
CUGCAACUCGCCUGCACGAAGUCGGAAUUGCUAGUAAUCGUAGGUCAGCAUACUACGGUGAAUACGUUCCCGGGCCUUGUACACACCGCCCGUCAAACCAUGAGAGUUGGCAACACCCGAAGUCGGUAGUCUAACCGCAAGGAGGACGCCGCCGAAGGUGGGGUUGAUGAUUAGGGUUAAGUCGUAACAAGGUAGC